CCUAUGAUCAGAAGUCAGAGCCAAUAAACCCCCUGUGAGCUGAUCGUGUGUUACACUCGCCGAUUAUGCAACUGGGAGCGUAUUUUUUGACUGGAAAAUACCAAAAUACCCUUUCAAUUGUUUUAUUUUUUAAAUUACAGAUUCACCCAAUAAAAGAUCCAUCUUUCAAUUUAGUCCUUAACAUUUUCAAAAAGCCCUCUUCUCCAAAUCAACCAUCCGUUACCACAAGUCGUCUUUAUCUUCCCAUUUCCGGCGAGCCCGUGAGAUUGAGAAGGAGAAUCCCAUCGGGGCUUCGGGUUUCAAGAAUCCGGGUUGUCAGAUUGUUUUCUUCUCGCCG
This 337-nucleotide long non-coding RNA is filed under the name Erythranthe guttata (spotted monkey flower). RNAcentral's name for it is "long non-coding RNA (EGUT_LNC000566)". Lineage: Eukaryota; Viridiplantae; Streptophyta; Magnoliopsida; Lamiales; Phrymaceae. The record is from RNAcentral.